RNAcentral lists this ribosomal RNA (254 nucleotides) under uncultured bacterium. RNAcentral describes it as "partial 16S ribosomal RNA". It matches the Rfam family "Bacterial small subunit ribosomal RNA", at positions 524 to 776 of the family's 1533-position model. The record is from RNAcentral.
CACGUAGGGUGCGAGCGUUGUCCGGAAUUAUUGGGCGUAAAGAGCUCGUAGGCGGUGUGUCGCGUCGGCCGUGAAAACCUGCAGCUUAACUGUGGGCUUGCGGUCGAUACGGGCAUCACUGGAGUUCGGCAGGGGAGACUGGAAUUCCUGGUGUAGCGGUGAAAUGCGCAGUUAUCAGGAGGAACACCAACGGCGAAGGCAGCACUCUGGGCCGGAACUGACGCUGAGGAGCGAAAGCGUGGGUAGCGAACAGG